This 215-nucleotide long non-coding RNA is filed under the name Vigna radiata. Its description in RNAcentral is "long non-coding RNA (VRAD_LNC005352)". Lineage: Eukaryota; Viridiplantae; Streptophyta; Magnoliopsida; Fabales; Fabaceae. The record is from RNAcentral.
AUGAUUGUGAUUAUUAUGAUAAGCAGGAUGUAAGAAUGAAUGUUGUGUGAGAAAGCAUGUUGUGUGAGAUUUUGAGCUCUAGAGUUUUAUGAUUAUUUGAAUUGUUCACAGGAAAGCAUGAAUGAUAUUGCUUUAAUCUCAAUGAUUGAUUGAAUUGCAUGUGAAUGUAAGAUUAUCAAGGCCAUUUUUUAAAGCCUUUCUCUAGCCAAAUUUUC